CCAUUAUAACAUCGUGUAGGAAACUGGCAUCACCAGGAUUGCUCAGAUUUAGGCGAUCAUGUUUAUCUUUAAAGUGAGCAGCUAGCUACUUGUUAAAAAACUUUGCGUGACAUAGUGUUACACCGCAGCCGGUCCGGGUAAAACAUUAAAGGGACAGUCUUUUUACCUUAUCACUAUAAAUCGCUAUUUUCUGCACUAAACGAGACAUUUUCAGAGAUUUUCUGUAGACAAGAUGUUAUAAUUAAAAAAAGACUUAUUUAGAUAUUUAUAUAUAAUAUAUAAUAUAACAACUAAUAUAUAUAUAUAUAUUUGUUUUACAACUGACUUAACACUUACAGUAAUGUUUUAUUUGUUAGCAUAGCAUGAUAUUAGAUUUAAACACUUAAUACAUUUUUAAAUCAAUCACUUUGUCUCUGCACAAUGAACAUUAUCAAAUAUUAUUAAUGUUGUAAAAUAUAUUGUUCAUUGUUAGUUCAUAUUAGCUAAGGCAUUACCAAAUGUUAAGGAAUAAACUCUUAUAGUAAAGUGUUACUAAAUUUUCUUUUACCAUUUCCUUCACAAUGUCUAUUUAUUUCUAUGGCUAACAGAUUUUGUAACAUUUGUCUUUUUUACAGUCUUACCAUUGCUUGUAAGCUGGAUUGGGUAAGAUGGAUCAUCUUUAAAGGCACCAGGAGUUAAGGCAGAUGUGGAGGCACAACGGGUGAUACCAGACACACACCAAGCACAUUAUGUUUGGACAUUCAAUCAUGACAUGAUCCAGGUGGAUGCUGUCCAUUGAGGAAAGAGUUUGUUCAGCGGUUUCUGGAUAGAAUUAAUUCCAAAGAUGGGAAAAAGUGCACAUCCAGACAAGGAGCAAGCAAAAAGACAAGGAACUUGGUGCAGAGAAAAGCUGUGGCCAUUAACCCCUGUGAACAGCUUCAUGCAGUCGCUGAUUGAGUUCGAAUGGACGACUUCAGUAAAGGCCACUGUGGUCUGUCUGCCACAGUUUAAUUUUUUAUUUAUUUUUAGUGUUCAAUGAAAUUCAAGUAGAAUAUUUAAAACUAUGGGCCAGUGUUGUUUUUACCACGGUGAAAUGUUACCUUUUAGUCGAUGAUGGACUUUAAACUGAAAACUUCAAACUAUGGAACAGUGUUCUAUUUGCCAGAGUUAAAUAUGUUACAGCAGGGGUCUCCAAACUUGUUUAUACUUGUUGAUUUUAUUUUAUGUUACUUGAUUAUAUGUUUAUUAUUGUUUAAAAUCUUGUUUUAAAUAUGUUUGUUUCAAUUAAAUGUUUUUUUUAAUAAAAUUUUGAUACAAACAUUGCUUGGAUUGCCUUUUAAUUCAUUAUGUUUUAAUUUAGCAUUUUUACCAUAUUAAUAACUAUAGAUUUAAACCUAAAUCUCUAGCUAUUUUAUAUAAUAUUAUUGUAUUAACUGUAAUAAGUAAUAAAUAGUAUUUAUGGGUCAAUAUAGACAUUACAGUAAAUUACUGUAAAAAUAGACUACUGUAAUAAAAUAUUGUAAAAUUACAGUACAGUACUGCUUUGUAACUAUACAGUACUAGUUUGUGUACUGUAAAAUGGUAUUACAGUACAGUACUGUAAAACCAAAAUACAGUAACUUACUGG
This is a non-coding RNA of Paramisgurnus dabryanus, 1606 nucleotides long. Lineage: Eukaryota; Metazoa; Chordata; Actinopteri; Cypriniformes; Cobitidae. The record is from RefSeq and is a predicted model, not a curated record.